AAACCCCAAUUAUUUUUGCCGGUUGUCGUGUCCAUAUAAUGUAUCCUAUGCUGACAUGACUCUCCCAACAACAUUGUAAGGGCCACGUGUGUUUACAGUCCGGGGUCCAGGGUCAAAUAGUUAGUUUCGUCUAAACAGCCUAAUGUAGCCUAGCCUGUGACUAGUCGACUGUCACAAAAGCAGUGUACGGAUCGUCUGUGAUCUGUGCUGUUGAGACCAAUGAUAUAAUUCAUAUCAUAAAUUAUUUUCCUGAUUGAUAGGCUACGACGCAUGGCCAUGAUAAUGAAGGAUUAUUUCGAAAAACUGCUUGGGCCAACAUCCGGUUACCACACAAGAAUCUCAUCUGACAGAAGUAAUAACGGUACUCUCAUUGCCAACCAACUUCCACCCAAACCUUGGGAGGCUCCACCGUCCGUCUGUCUACGAGGUCUAAACAGAGGAAGCAGACCCGCCAUUUUCCUGCAAGCCUCCGGUCCUUUUAAACCCAGCAGGGGGAGGCGAACACGGAGAGGAGGACACUGAAGGAGGGGGGACAGAGAAAGAGUGAGAGUGUAUGAGAGAGGGUUUCAAAGAGGACGAUUACUACAGAAAGGAGCUCAUUGGUGUCGAGUGGUGGAACCGUGGAAGCCCAAGAAGACAAUAGCAGUUCCAUCGGAUUCACAUAACGUUAAGUUAGCCUUAGCAGGUUGUUUGGUUAAAA
Molecule: long non-coding RNA, 700 nt
Organism: Clupea harengus (Atlantic herring)
Lineage: Eukaryota; Metazoa; Chordata; Actinopteri; Clupeiformes; Clupeidae
Gene: picalma
Exons: 3
Source: RefSeq, a predicted model, not a curated record